RNAcentral lists this ribosomal RNA (425 nucleotides) under uncultured bacterium. RNAcentral describes it as "partial 16S ribosomal RNA". It matches the Rfam family "Bacterial small subunit ribosomal RNA", at positions 354 to 796 of the family's 1533-position model. The record is from RNAcentral.
GUGGGGAAUCUUGCGCAAUGGGCGAAAGCCUGACGCAGCCAUGCCGCGUGAAUGAUGAAGGUCUUAGGAUUGUAAAAUUCUUUCACCGGGGACGAUAAUGACGGUACCCGGAGAAGAAGCUCCGGCUAACUUCGUGCCAGCAGCCGCGGUAAUACGAAGGGGGCUAGCGUUGCUCGGAAUUACUGGGCGUAAAGGGCGCGUAGGCGGACAGCUUAGUCAGAGGUGAAAGCCCAGGGCUCAACCUUGGAAUUGCCUUUGAUACUGGCUGUCUUGAGUUUGGGAGAGGUGAGUGGAACUCCGAGUGUAUAGGUGAAAUUCGUAGAUAUUCGGAAGAACACCAGUGGCGAAGGCGACUCACUGGCCCAAUACUGACGCUGAGGCGCGAAAGCGUGGGGAGCAAACAGGAUUAGAAACCCCGGUAGUCC